This 263-nucleotide unclassified non-coding RNA is filed under the name plant metagenome. RNAcentral's name for it is "partial contains small subunit ribosomal RNA, internal transcribed spacer 1, and 5.8S ribosomal RNA". The record is from RNAcentral.
UUUCCGUAGGUGAACCUGCGGAAGGAUCAUUAUUGUAUAACCGAGGUGCGAGGGCUGUCGCUGACCCGAAAGGUCGUGCACGCCCGAGUGCACUCACACACAUCCAUCUCACCCCUAUGUGCACCACCGCGUGGGUCCCCCUUUGGCUUGUUCGGAGGGGGGCUUACGUGUUCACACAAACUUUGUAUGCAGUGUAGAAUGUAUUUUUUGUUUUUGCGAUCACGCAAGCAAUACAACUUUCAACAACGGAUCUCUUGGCUCUC